CCUACGGGUGGCAGCAGUAGGGAAUUUUCGUCAAUGGGCGCAAGCCUGAACGAGCAAUGCCGCGUGAACAAGGAAGGUCUUCGGAUCGUAAAGUUCUGUUGAAGGGGAAAAAGAGCGGAGAGAGGAAAUGGUCUCCGAUUGAUAUUACCCUUCGAGGAAGUCACGGCUAACUACGUGCCAGCAGCCGCGGUAAUACGUAGGUGGCGAGCGUUAUCCGGAAUGAUUGGGCGUAAAGGGUGCGUAGGCGGACUGCUAAGUCUGGAGUGAAAGGUACGGGCUCAACCGGUACAGGCUCUGGAAACUGGCGGGCUAGAGAGCAGGAGAGGGAGGUGGAACUCCAUGUGUAGCGGUAAAAUGCGUAGAUAUAUGGAAGAACACCAGUGGCGAAGGCGGCCGCCUGGCCUGUUACUGACGCUGAGGCACGAAAGCGUGGGGAGCGAAUAGGAUUAGAUACCCCUGUAGUC
RNAcentral lists this ribosomal RNA (464 nucleotides) under uncultured bacterium. RNAcentral describes it as "partial 16S ribosomal RNA". It matches the Rfam family "Bacterial small subunit ribosomal RNA", at positions 338 to 795 of the family's 1533-position model. The record is from RNAcentral.